This is a non-coding RNA of Gossypium hirsutum (cotton), 121 nucleotides long. Lineage: Eukaryota; Viridiplantae; Streptophyta; Magnoliopsida; Malvales; Malvaceae. The record is from Rfam.
AAUAGUUUUAUGCCACAUAAGUAUUCUUAUCCUGAAUUUCAGGAUUUUAUCCUGAAAAAAUCAAAUCCAAAUUAAAAUACUGAAAUUCAGGAUAAGAAUACUGAUGUGGCAUAAAACUAUU